Long non-coding RNA from Xiphophorus couchianus (Monterrey platyfish), 322 nucleotides. RefSeq lists it as uncharacterized. Lineage: Eukaryota; Metazoa; Chordata; Actinopteri; Cyprinodontiformes; Poeciliidae. The record is from RefSeq and is a predicted model, not a curated record. The transcript is spliced from 2 exons.
GUGGAACUUGUCGAUGUCGCAGGGCAGCAGCAUGCCGUAGCUGUGGAGCACCGUGGAGCUCCUGGAGCAGGCCUGACAGGGUCACACCAAGCAGCUUCCUGUCAGCGGAUUCCCCGACCCGAGUACCACCGCCCACAGCAGCGUUUUGUGCCAAGAAGUCAGGCCUGAUGAAGCAGAUUCAGCUCAUCGGUUGCAGUAGAUAACUACACGAUGGAGCAGCUCAAUGCUGCAGUGCUGAGAGAGCAGAGCGGCUCAGACAGGACACAAAUGGAAAGAAACAGGAACAUCUUGCAAAGUUGACAUUAAAGUGGUGUGUUCAAAA